Molecule: ribosomal RNA, 433 nt
Filed under: uncultured bacterium
Lineage: Bacteria
Description: partial 16S ribosomal RNA
Rfam family: Bacterial small subunit ribosomal RNA
Source: RNAcentral
AACGAACGCUGGCGGCAUGCCUAACACAUGCAAGUCGAACGAGACCUUCGGGUCUAGUGGCGCACGGGUGCGUAACGCGUGGGAAUCUGCCCUUGGGUUCGGAAUAACAGUUGGAAACGACUGCUAAUACCGGAUGAUGACGUAAGUCCAAAGAUUUAUCGCCCAGGGAUGAGCCCGCGUAGGAUUAGCUAGUUGGUGGGGUAAAGGCCUACCAAGGCGACGAUCCUUAGCUGGUCUGAGAGGAUGAUCAGCCACACUGGGACUGAGACACGGCCCAGACUCCUACGGGAGGCAGCAGUGGGGAAUAUUGGACAAUGGGCGAAAGCCUGAUCCAGCAAUGCCGCGUGAGUGAUGAAGGCCUUAGGGUUGUAAAGCUCUUUUAACCGGGAUGAUAAUGACAGUACCGGGAGAAUAAGCCCCGGCUAACUCCGUG